This is a non-coding RNA of Arvicanthis niloticus (Nile rat), 135 nucleotides long. NCBI's taxonomy places the organism in Eukaryota, Metazoa, Chordata, Mammalia, Rodentia, Muridae. The record is from RefSeq and is a predicted model, not a curated record.
ACUGUCCCUAGAGGCUUUGCAGGUGUGGCUCUGUGUCAGUCACAUGCACAUCAGUAGGAGGCAGAGAGAAGAGAGGCUGUGCCUGUGCUCAGUGUUCUGACCUGUGAACAUCUGAAUGAUUAGCAGCCCACCAGU